CCCCUAUUUACUGUAAGUUAGUCCAUGAUCGAUCUGUUCCUAUACUUUUGGUCUUGCCGCUCCAGUAGUUUCAGAGGGGACUGUAGCUAGGUCCAAAGUAUUUUAAAUGUCUCUACAUUUCUGUCACACUAAAACAAACACGGCACAAAUGAACACACAUCGCUACGGGACACUCCUCGAGUUUUCGCUCAUUUGCUCGCGUGCAUUUCGAGCUCCGCCUUCUCCCACACGUCUUUUUUUUUUCGCUCCGUUCUGAUCCGUUUUCGUACCAAACAGGAACCGAAUCGAGACGGUCAUCUCGGAUAUGGACUAACAGUUGAGAAAUUGGUGUGUAAUGAUGUCAUUAAGUCAUCAUCGGGAAGAAGAACGGGGCAGUAGGCUGUUUUGCACGCCAUGACGCAUCUGAAUUAAUGAUAGUCAUUUCUAACACUUCUUUGGAGGAGUAAUUAUAGAGCUUUGUAAACAACUUAGGAAGCAUUAUAAUCAAAGUCAUGAGGAUUUAAGAUCACAGGUUUCACAGACUGCACAAAUAACACUAACCUUACACCUCUAAUGCUGCAUUACACACACACACACACACACACACACACACACACACACACACACACACACACACACACACACAGCCUUAUAUUUGUUAACAUGAAAAAUACAUCAGACUGCAAUGCAUUGUGGGGAAAUUCUGCCCCUGAAAGCCUACAUUCAUAUACAUACACAUACAUCUCCAGUCCUGUUUAUUCAUGUUUACUCCUACAUUCAUGUUUAUUCAUGUUUACAUCUCCAUUCCUGUUUAUUCAUGUUUACUUCUACAUUCCUAUUUAUUCAUGUUUACUUCUACAUUCAUAUUUAUUCAUGUUUACUCCUACAUUCAUGUUUAUUCAUGUUUACUUCUACAUUCCUGUUUAUUCAUGUUUAUUUCUACAUUCAUGUUUAUUCAUGUUUACUCCUACAUUCAUGUUUAUUCAUGUUUACUCCUACAUUCAUGUUUAUUCAUGUUUACUCCUACAUUCAUGUUUAUUCAUGUUUACUCCUACAUUCAUGUUUAUUCAUGUUUACUCCUACAUUCAUGUUUAUUCAUGUUUACUCCUACAUUCAUGUUUACUUCUACAUUCCUGUUUAUUCAUGUUUACUCCUGCAUUCAUGUUUAUUCAUGUUUACUCCUACAUUCAUGUUUAUUCAUAUUUACUCCUACAUUCAUGUUUAUUCAUAUUUAUUUCUACAUUCAUGUUUAUUUCAUGUUUACUUCUACAUUCAUGUUUAUUCAUGUUUACUCCUACAUUCAUGUUUAUUCAUGUUUACUCCUACAUUCAUGUUUAUUCAUGUUUACUCCUACAUUCAUGUUUACUUCUACAUUCCUAUUUAUUCAUGUUUACUUCUACAUUCAUGUUUAUUCAUGUUUACUUCUACAUUCCUAUUUAUUCAUGUUUACUCCUACAUUCAUGUUUAUUCAUGUUUACUCCUACAUUCAUGUUUAUUCAUGUUACUCCUACAUUCAUGUUUAUUCAUGUUUACUUCUACAUUCCUAUUUAUUCAUGUUUACUCCUACAUUCAUGUUUAUUCAUGUUUACUUCUACAUUCCUAUUUAUUCAUGUUUACUCCUACAUUCCUAUUUAUUCAUGUUUACUCCUACAUUCAUGUUUACUUCUACAUUCCUAUUUAUUCAUGUUUACUCCUACAUUCAUGUUUAUUCAUGUUUACUUCUACAUUCAUAUUUAUUCUGUUUACUCCUACAUUCAUAUUUAUUCAUGUUUACUCCUACAUUCAUGUUUAUUCAUGUUUAUCCUACAUUCAUGUUUAUUCAUGUUUACUUCUACAUU
Long non-coding RNA from Ictalurus punctatus (channel catfish), 1817 nucleotides. Lineage: Eukaryota; Metazoa; Chordata; Actinopteri; Siluriformes; Ictaluridae. The record is from Ensembl.